This 233-nucleotide ribosomal RNA is filed under the name Bacillus subtilis. RNAcentral describes it as "partial 16S ribosomal RNA". It matches the Rfam family "Bacterial small subunit ribosomal RNA", at positions 968 to 1201 of the family's 1533-position model. The record is from RNAcentral. Lineage: Bacteria; Bacillati; Bacillota; Bacilli; Caryophanales; Bacillaceae.
CACCUUACCAGGUCUUGACAUCCUCUGACAAUCCUAGAGAUAGGACGUCCCCUUCGGGGGCAGAGUGACAGGUGGUGCAUGGUUGUCGUCAGCUCGUGUCGUGAGAUGUUGGGUUAAGUCCCGCAACGAGCGCAACCCUUGAUCUUAGUUGCCAGCAUUCAGUUGGGCACUCUAAGGUGACUGCCGGUGACAAACCGGAGGAAGGUGGGGAUGACGUCAAAUCAUCAUGCCCC